RNAcentral lists this unclassified non-coding RNA (158 nucleotides) under uncultured Uwebraunia. RNAcentral describes it as "sequence contains ITS2". Lineage: Eukaryota; Fungi; Ascomycota; Dothideomycetes; Mycosphaerellales; Dissoconiaceae. The record is from RNAcentral.
CAACCAAUCCAGCCCCGCUGGGUAUUGGGCGUCGCGGCCUGCCGCGCGCCUCAAAGUCUACGGCGGAAGCCGCCCGUUCCUCUGCGUGAUGACACAUCGUCGCUUGGGACACGGGGGUGAGCGCCCGGAAAACAUCGGCGGAGACGUCGAUUUCAAGG